This 325-nucleotide unclassified non-coding RNA is filed under the name Hevea brasiliensis (rubber tree). Lineage: Eukaryota; Viridiplantae; Streptophyta; Magnoliopsida; Malpighiales; Euphorbiaceae. The record is from RNAcentral.
AGAAAUUUCAGUUAGCCGGCGGCGCGGAGAUUGUCGGCCGACGACUUGCCCGAACGGCGAUCGGCGACGAUUUCGUAGCUGAUCUUCUGGCCUUCGCGCAGCGUUCCCAGACCAGCGCGCUCGACGGCGCUGAUGUGAACGAACACGUCGUUUCCGCCAUCGUCAGGCUGAAUGAAACCGUAACCCUUAGUCGCGUUGAACCACUUCACUGUUCCCAUGCUCACGCAGGUAGUCCUUCUCAAGAUAGAUAUAGUCAAAGCCCACGUCUAAAUGGGCUGGUGAGAUCGAAAUUUGGAUGAGGUCGUCAGCGUCUAAACCGGCUGUA